UUUCAAUGGAGAGUUUGAUCCUGGCUCAGGACGAACGCUGGCGGCGUGCCUAAUACAUGCAAGUCG
RNAcentral lists this ribosomal RNA (66 nucleotides) under Baia soyae. RNAcentral's name for it is "partial 16S ribosomal RNA". It matches the Rfam family "Bacterial small subunit ribosomal RNA", at positions 1 to 64 of the family's 1533-position model. Lineage: Bacteria; Bacillati; Bacillota; Bacilli; Caryophanales; Thermoactinomycetaceae. The record is from RNAcentral.